GAUGAACGCUGGCGGCGUGCCUAAUACAUGCAAGUAGAACGCUGAAGGAGGAGCUUGCUCUUCUGGCUGAGUUGCGAACGGGUGAGUAACGCGUAGGUAACCUGCUUGGUAGCGGGGGAUAACUCUUGGAAACGAUAGCUAAUACCGCAUGACAACAGUUAUUGCAUGAUAACUGUCUAAAAGGGGCAACUGCUCCACUACUAGCUGGACUUGCGUUGUAUUAGCUAGUUGGUGAGGUAACGGCUCACCAAGGCGACGAUACAUAGCCGACCUGAGAGGGUGAUCGGCCACACUGGGACUGAGACACGGCCCAGACUCCUACGGGAGGCAGCAGUAGGGAAUCUUCGGCAAUGGACGGAAGUCUGACCGAGCAACGCCGCGUGAGUGAAGAAGGUUUUCGGAUCGUAAAGCUCUGUUGUAAGAGAAGAACGAGGGUGAGAGUGGAAAGUUCACACUGUGACGGUAUCUUACCAGAAAGGGACGGCUAACUACGUG
This 495-nucleotide ribosomal RNA is filed under the name uncultured bacterium. Its description in RNAcentral is "partial 16S ribosomal RNA". It matches the Rfam family "Bacterial small subunit ribosomal RNA", at positions 28 to 507 of the family's 1533-position model. The record is from RNAcentral.